AGGAUUUGAUUAGGAUUUGUCUAAGAUUUGAUUUAGGAUUUAGGAUUGAUUAGGAUUUGAUUUAGAAUUUGGUUAGGAUUUGGUUUAAGAUUUAAAAUUUAAGAUUUAGUUAGGGUUUGAUUAAGAUUUCGUUUAGGAUUUAAAAUUUAAGGUUUAAUUAGGGUUUGAUUAGAAUUUGUCUAACAUUUGAUUUGGGAUUUAGAGUUUGUCUAGAAUUUGAUUGAAGUCUAUUAAGGUUUAAACUAGGAUUAAAUUAGAACUUAGUUGAGAUUUAUUUAAG
Molecule: long non-coding RNA, 280 nt
Filed under: Physcomitrium patens
Lineage: Eukaryota; Viridiplantae; Streptophyta; Bryopsida; Funariales; Funariaceae
Description: long non-coding RNA (PPAT_LNC006326)
Source: RNAcentral